This 408-nucleotide ribosomal RNA is filed under the name uncultured bacterium. Its description in RNAcentral is "partial 16S ribosomal RNA". It matches the Rfam family "Bacterial small subunit ribosomal RNA", at positions 28 to 526 of the family's 1533-position model. The record is from RNAcentral.
GACGAACGCUGGCGGCGUGCUUAACACAUGCAAGUCGAACGGAGUGGCGAACGGGUGAGUAACACGUGGGUGAUCUGCCUUGCACUUCGGGAUAAGCUUGGGAAACUGGGUCUAAUACCGGAUAGUGCAAGAUGAGCUCGCGGCCUAUCAGCUUGUUGGUGGGGUAAUGGCCUACCAAGGCGUCGAGGUGUAGCCGGCCUGAGAGGGGGUACGGCGACAUUGGGACUGCGAGAGGGCCCAGACUCGUACGUGGGGCAGCAGGGGGGAAUAUUGCACAAUGGGCGGAAGCCUGAUGCAGCGACGCCGGGGGGGGGAUGAAGGCCUUCGGGUUGUAAACUCCUUUCGACAGGGACGCGGUACCUGUAUAAGAAGCACCGGCUAACUACGUGCCAGCAGCCGCGGUAAUUC